CACGUGGGCAAUCUGCCCUUCACUCUGGGACAAGCCCUGGAAACGGGGUCUAAUACCGGAUACCACUCCGUCCCGCAUGGGACGGGGUUGAAAGCUCCGGCGGUGAAGGAUGAGCCCGCGGCCUAUCAGCUUGUUGGUGGGGUAAUGGCCUACCAAGGCGACGACGGGUAGCCGGCCUGAGAGGGCGACCGGCCACACUGGGACUGAGACACGGCCCAGACUCCUACGGGAGGCAGCAGUGGGGAAUAUUGCACAAUGGGCGAAAGCCUGAUGCAGCGACGCCGCGUGAGGGAUGACGGC
Molecule: ribosomal RNA, 300 nt
Filed under: uncultured Streptomyces sp.
Lineage: Bacteria; Bacillati; Actinomycetota; Actinomycetes; Kitasatosporales; Streptomycetaceae
Description: bacterial SSU rRNA
Rfam family: Bacterial small subunit ribosomal RNA
Source: RNAcentral